This 253-nucleotide ribosomal RNA is filed under the name uncultured bacterium. RNAcentral's name for it is "partial 16S ribosomal RNA". It matches the Rfam family "Bacterial small subunit ribosomal RNA", at positions 524 to 776 of the family's 1533-position model. The record is from RNAcentral.
UACGGAGGGUGCAAACGUUGCUCGGAAUCAUUGGGCGUAAAGCGCGUGUAGGCGGUCCGGUAAGUCCGCUGUGAAAGUCGGGGGCUCAACCCUCGGAUGCCGGUGGAUACUGUCGGGCUUGAGUACGGAAGAGGCGAGUGGAAUUCCUGGUGUAGCGGUGAAAUGCGCAGAUAUCAGGAGGAACACCAAUUGCGAAGGCAGCUCGCUGGGACGUUACUGACGCUGAGACGCGAAAGCGUGGGGAGCAAACAGG